Molecule: ribosomal RNA, 254 nt
Filed under: uncultured bacterium
Lineage: Bacteria
Description: partial 16S ribosomal RNA
Rfam family: Archaeal small subunit ribosomal RNA
Source: RNAcentral
UACCAGCACCCCGAGUGGUCGGGACGUUUAUUGGGCCUAAAGCAUCCGUAGCCGGUUCUACAAGUCUUCCGUUAAAUCCAACUGCUUAACAGGUGGGCUGCGGAAGAUACUAUAGAGCUAGGAGGCGGGAGAGGCAAGCGGUACUCAAUGGGUAGGGGUAAAAUCCGUUGAUCCAUUGAAGACCACCAGUGGCGAAGGCGGCUUGCCAGAACGCGCUCGACGGUGAGGGAUGAAAGCUGGGGGGAGCAAACCGG